This 253-nucleotide ribosomal RNA is filed under the name uncultured bacterium. RNAcentral's name for it is "partial 16S ribosomal RNA". It matches the Rfam family "Bacterial small subunit ribosomal RNA", at positions 524 to 776 of the family's 1533-position model. The record is from RNAcentral.
UACGUAGGGUGCAAGCGUUAAUCGGAAUUACUGGGCGUAAAGCGUGCGCAGGCGGUUAGGUAAGACAGAUGUGAAAUUCCCGGGCUCAACCUGGGAACUGCAUUUGUGACUGCCUGACUAGAGUGCGGCAGAGGGGAGUGGAAUUCCGCGUGUAGCAGUGAAAUGCGUAGAUAUGCGGAGGAACACCGAUGGCGAAGGCAACUCCCUGGGCCUGCACUGACGCUCAUGCACGAAAGCGUGGGGAGCAAACAGG